Pseudonaja textilis is the source of this 622-nucleotide non-coding RNA. NCBI's taxonomy places the organism in Eukaryota, Metazoa, Chordata, Lepidosauria, Squamata, Elapidae. The record is from RefSeq and is a predicted model, not a curated record.
CAGCUGGGGACGCGGGGGAAACGGACGCCAGCUCCAGAUCCUUCAGCGGGAAGGCGGAAUGGGCGAAGGCGACUCGGGUCCAAACGCGUGUUUAGCUCCUCAGACUCCCCCCUCCCAGCCUUCCAGGUGGUCCCGAGGCAGGAGGAAACUACCUUGUGCUCUUGGAAAGUCAUAAAAAGAGGCGGCCGGGGAAUGGGUGGAUUUAUAACGCAGGCCUGGAAUCCUGCUUUUGCAAGAAUGCAAGGCACCGUUGCCUUUUAUAUAUUAAAGCCGUUGAAACGAAAGGAGUAAGAGGAGAGCGCGUUCAUCCCUGAAACCUUUUAUAUCCAGUUAUAGCAGCGGUUUGAGCUUUCAUGGAGUAACAGAAUCUGCAUCCUCGGUAGAUUCCCACUCCUUUUCUUAUUUUUGAGGCUUUUCUUAAUUCCCUUGUCGCCCAUACAGGCUUUCACACAGAAAGUAGUCUGUACAACUCAUUCCACAAAGAAAUGGCCAGCAGAUCAAAAAACACUGCUUUAUCAUCUGCCCUCCCACUCUUACCAAGACUGGUAAGAAACUUAAAAAUAUUUUUUAGUUUUCAAACUUCAAAACCUGAAGCUCUAGAAGGAUGGAAAAAAGAAGCAAG